Molecule: long non-coding RNA, 2160 nt
Organism: Piliocolobus tephrosceles (Ugandan red Colobus)
Lineage: Eukaryota; Metazoa; Chordata; Mammalia; Primates; Cercopithecidae
Exons: 2
Source: RefSeq, a predicted model, not a curated record
UCUGGUGCUUCCAUAUUGCCUGGGCUGAUAGGUGUUUCUCAUUCAUUCGCAGCCACUCAUAACUCAUGCCCUGUGGUUCAUGGCAUCACUGUUGUGCUUGCUGCCUGGGUGACCUUUGGAUAAGACUCUGUGGGCUCUGGAGCCUAACAGUCUUGAAAUUCAAAUCCUAGCCCCUCCACAACUCCUGGGUUUCAGGCUAGAUCAUAAAAGAUGUUGCUGUUUCUACCCUGCUCUCUUGGAUCGCUUGCUCUGGAGGGAAGCUGGUCACCAUGUUGUGAGAACACCCAAGCAGGCUGUGGAAAGGACCACAUGGAGAGCUAAGCCUUCCUGCCAGCAACCAGCCCCGACUUUCCAGCCAUGAAAAGAAGCCCCCUUGGAAGCAGAUCUUCCAGCUCCAGGCAAGCCUCCAGAUGACUGUGGCCCUGGCUGAUGUCUUGGUUGCAACUUCAUCAGAGACCACAAGCUAGACCCACUUAAAUUCCUGACACAAAUAAAAUUUGUGUGAUGUGAUAAAUGUUUAUUGUAUUAAGCCUCUGUGUUUUAAGAUAAUCUAUUAUGUAGUAAUACAUAACUAAUACAUAGUCUUAAUAUGUGCCAGGCUUUGUUUUAAGGCUUUUGCAAAUAAUAACCCAUGAAUCCUCAUAACUCUUCAAAGUAGGUACUGUUAUUACUCUCAUUUUAUACAUGUGGAAACUGAGGCCCAGAGAUUAUUUUUACUUUUUAAAAUUUUGUCUUUUUUUUUUGAUUUUGUAAAAAUGUUUUACUUUUAAUUUUUAUGGAUAUAUAGAGAUGUUUAAAUUACCAGCCCAAAGUCACAGUUUGUAAAAUGUUAAGCUGGAAAUUGAAUUGAACAGUCUACCCCUUAGUGGAAUCUGCUUUUUAAAAAAUGAACUAAGCAGCCUGACCAGAGUCCAUGCUCACAGUAGCUACGUUGUGUUGUCCUUAAGGAGGAUCAUGUUUUAGAAAAUCGGUUAUAAAAUCGGGUGAUUGAUGAAGUGCAGAGUUAAGAGAAGAGUGAACUGCCUUCAGAAUCCAGUUCUGUUACCAUUCAAGUGGAGGUCUAGGAUAAAUCACUUGUUGAAGCUUUUGUCCAAUCAUCUGUAAAACCAUUACUUUCCACUUGGCAAGAUUUUUGAGGAUUAAAUGAGAUAAUGCAUGAAAGCCCUCUAGCUUAGGCAUCGGUACACCUGAGUUCCCUUCCCGUGCUCUGCACAGCCUGCUCAUCACCACCAAUGGGGAACUCUGUCCUCUGUAGGGCCCCUGCAGACAUGGGCCUUGCCUGGAUGCUGCUGCUGUCUAAGCCUAGGAGAGCUGGGCCUGGCAUCCCAGCAUAGGUACUCACAGCUAUCAGAAGGAGACUCCUGUUUGGGACCCUGCCCUCAUUCCCAGAUAGGAAAAAUUCAUCUCAGCAUCUGCUGGCCUUCAUUGUUAGGUUGUAGACUACAGUGAAUGAUAUUCUGUGUUUAGUUACAUUAUGCACAACACUCUACAGAGUGGGUGGUUUUUAAUCCUAACCACUAAUUUACAAAAUGGAGCGGCUCUCCUGGCUCUGUGAAGUAUGUAUUGUGGAGCCAGAGGUGAUGCUGUUGGGUGUGGGUGGUCAUUUACGGGAGAGCAACAUAAGCAGAGGAAGGCACGGAGACCUGGGUUCAAAUCCCACUGCCAGUGCUAUGUAGUGUGAGACUUUGGACAAGUUAUUUAACCUUCUUGAGGCUUAGUUUCCUUGCCAGUAAAAUACAAAUGAUGCUGACCUCAUUGAUUCCUGGUGAGGAACCCAUGGAAUAAUGUGGGGUUCCAUGCAUCAGUAUCAUUUCCCUUUCCCUUCAUAAUGAUUCUAUUGGAUAGCUAGUGUCAUAGGAAGCUAAUGGUUAGGAGUUCAAACUCACACAAGAAUAGAUUUUGUUUUGCGGUGGAAACUUAGUGAUAACUUUGGACUAAGACAAUGUCAAGACAUUUUGGCAGACAAUCGUAGAGUAGUUAUAUUCUUGUGAGGUCUGCAGAAGUCCCUAGUGGGAAGAGCAGACACAGCCUUGGAUGCUCAGACCUAGCUUGGCUGUGAAACUAGAGCUUUAGUCUUUUUAAGACUGUGUUUCUGACCCUGGAGAAAAAAAGUUAUACAUACCUUGAAAGAUUUUCUUGGGGGAAAAAAAAAACAAAAAA